Molecule: long non-coding RNA, 1174 nt
Filed under: Mus caroli (Ryukyu mouse)
Lineage: Eukaryota; Metazoa; Chordata; Mammalia; Rodentia; Muridae
Description: predicted gene, 26756 (MGP_CAROLIEiJ_G0003685.1)
Source: RNAcentral
GUCUGCGCCGUGGCCGCCGCCGCCGCCGCUGCCUGUCGCCGAGCCUGGCAUCUCCGAGCCCCCGCGCGGGGGGCUGCCGCCCAGCGCUGAUUGACAGCCCGCCUCGCCAAUGCCUGGAGGGAGAAAGGAGGUGUCUUUGUGGGCACCGAGGGAUAUAAUGGUGAUUGCAAGUUUCUGAGAGCCGUAAUUACUGAGAAAGGAUUUGUCUGACAGCAGAGAGACAGUUUUCAAAUCAGCAGCUGUGUGAUCCUUUUAAAAUAGAAUUGUGCUUCUCUUGGGUGGGUGUGGUGAUAUACGCCUAUGAUCCCAGCAUUUGGGAGGCAGAAGCAGGCAGACCUCUGUGAGUUCAAGGCCAAUCUAGUGUACAUCGUGAUAUCUAGGGCAGUCAUAGGGCUACAUAGUGACACCCUGUAGAGACCGUGUCUUAAAACAAAACAAGACAAAACAAAAACAACCACACACACACACACACACACACACACACACACACACACACACAAUCAGUUUCCAGUCUCCCCUUCAUUGUCUUUCCCCUCUGUGGCUACACUUUGCUUCUUAGAGCACACUCCUCUCUCCACUGCAGCCUCACUGGUCUUUUUGAGCAGGUCAAAGGUAUUUUAGCUGGCAUGUUUCUCCCUGGAGUGUAUACACAGUUCUUUUCCAUAUCUCUUGUACGUGUCCCUGUUUCAGUGAGGCCUUCACUAAGCUCCCUGCUUACAGCUGUAACCCUGGCCCUCUCUUGUCACACACACACACCUCCCUUCCUAUCUAGCACUGUCACUGUCUGUCAUAUUAUGAAGUGCCAUUGUGGUGAGAUUGUAACUCCCUCACAGGAAGGGAGGUCUGCUGAGUCAGCAGGUAGACUAGUGCCUAGCACAUGAAGGAGCCCCAGUGAACCUGCUGGGUGAGGAAUGGCUUGAAGAGCCGUGGAAACAGCUGGAGGAAGUGCUAAGAUUACCUAGAUGGAGAGGCAGCAAUCAUAUUAGAGGGAUGAGAGAACACAGGCAGAGUGUUUCAGGAAGCCCAUAUCCUAUUGCAGCCAGGAGGUUCAACCUUCAUUCUCUCUUCCAAAUGAAGUCCGUGAUAGUUUUCUUUCCUUUCUGUAAAGGAGGGUCUGUUGGGCCUGUUUGGAAAAGUGAUUUCCUUUUAAAGAGUAUAUAAAGGCAGUCAUUUU